Molecule: long non-coding RNA, 3825 nt
Filed under: Setaria viridis
Lineage: Eukaryota; Viridiplantae; Streptophyta; Magnoliopsida; Poales; Poaceae
Description: long non-coding RNA (SVIR_LNC000190)
Source: RNAcentral
UUUUUUAGACAAGGUUUGGAUUAUGUUGUUCCAUACAACUACCCAAAUCAACUUCAUAUCAGACGUGAUCAACUUUCAGCAGAAAAAACACGGUUCUCGAAAGAAAUCGUGCUUUUUCUUAUUCCAUGUACCAUAACCAGCUGUUAUGGCUUCCAUGCGAUGUACCAGCCGAUUCCUCAGAAACCUCAGAAGUUUGUUACAAUCAAUCACAUCAAUCUCAAAGUUUGUGAGCAUAGCUAGAUUCUGACCAGUCGAACACGCAGCUUUGAGAGCAGCUUUCUGAGGACCAUUGCAAUAAGACCAGCAUGUACUGGGAAAAUUUUCAGGUCCUCAAAGUGAUUAUUCAUCAGAUAGAGAAGGUGAUUAAUAUCUGAUGGUAGACAAAGUCACCCACUAACCAUAAACAAUUCCGAAAUCAAGUCCGCUGCUGCCCUGGUAAUUGAGUCGUACACGGACCUUAACAGCUGCAUCAUCCAGAUCCUGCCUUGCUAGAAUCCAUACGUGCCUCAGGUUUACCUUCCCUGAGGGAUACACGCAAACGUUGCAUUCAGAAAGAACAUCAACACAACCUCCUUCCAACUCAACCUUUCUUAACUUCUUGAUCAAAGAUCUUGAAGCAUUCUUCCUGAUCUCAGAAGCACGAUAAUACGAUUGAUGACUAUUCUCACCAUGAAGAGAAGGUAUUCCACCGGCAGUUGCUGACUUUAAACUCACUUUCAAUACCAUCUUAUUGUUCCUUCUGAAAUGAUAUACCAGGUGACUCCACUUUCAGCAGAAACAACACGAUUCCCAUUGGGUGAGUACCCACUAGAGAGGAAUCGUGCUUCUUAUUAUUCCAAGUACCAUAACCAGCUGCUAUGGCUUCCAUGCGAUGUGCCAGCCGAUUCCUCACAAACCUCAGAAGUUUAGGACCAUCAAUCACAUCAAUCUCAAACUUUAUGAGCAUAGCUGGAUUCUAACUAGUCGAACACACAGCUUUAAGAGCAGCUUUCUGAGGACCAUUGCAAUAAGACCAGCAUGUAUUGGGAAAAUUUUCAGGUCCUCAAAGUGAUUAUUCAUUGCGUAUGACGAGCAUGUUCUUGAUCCAGCACCUAAUGGGGAUCGUGUAUUAUUUGCUGAUUAUCGUGGAAUCACUUGGGAUCAGUUUAGAUACAGCCAGCAAUUGGCCUUUGAUAUUGAUCAUAAUACAUUGUCAGGAGGUAUGCCAACUCUUCCUGGUGAGCGGGGCAGGGAUCCUUUUUAUCUAGCUGCUGAGAUAACUAAGAAGGCAAGUAGAUCUUUAAUCAUGCUUUUAAGGAAGAUUGAACUAGAAGGCAAUUGUGUUGAAAUUCUUGAUCAUACCAAAGUCUGUGUCUAUGAGAACGGAUAGGUAAGGCUGUCACGCGCCCGUAUUCUGACAAAUCAAGAUUUAAGUGAUGCAGAAAUUGAGAAUCAUCUAAGACUUAAUUAUAGGGCAGCGGUGGAUAUGAUUUUUAUGUUGUUUGAUGUUAAUGGCAAUGGGCAGUAUUGGCUACCACCAGAUAUGGAUCACCUACUUGGAUUGAUGUGGAAUAAUUUUGGGGAUCGGGGAAUUUAUGCCAUACAUGCUGCUCUUGUACUCAUGGUUUUGUAUCCCCACUUGUUUAAGGAACUGCACAAUUUGAUUUCAGAUAAGAUUAGGGAUUCGGAAUACCAUGACAUCUGUGUUGCACUAGUUGCUAAUGCUCUUGAUUGGAGACGUGAAGUUCAUAAUAAUGACCUCCUUUGUGAAACAUAUUUUUUUAGACAAGGUUUGGAUUAUGUUGUUCCAUACAACUACCCAAAUCAACUUCAUAUCAGACGUGAUCAACUUUCAGCAGAAAAAACACGGUUCCCAUUGGGUGAGUACCCGCUCGAAAGAAAUCGUGCUUUUUCUUAUUCCAUGUACCAUAACCAGCUGUUAUGGCUUCCAUGCGAUGUACCAGCCGAUUCCUCAGAAACCUCAGAAGUUUGUUACAAUCACUCACAUCAAUCUCAAACUUUGUGAGCAUAGCUAGAUUCUGACCAGUCGAACACGCAGCUUUGAGAGCAGCUUUCUGAGGACCAUUGCAAUAAGACCAGCAUGUAUUGGGAAAAUUUUCAGGUACUCAAAGUGAUUAUUCAUCAGAUAGAGAAGGUGAUUACUAUCUGAUGGUAGACAAAGUCACCCACUAACCAUAAACAAUUCCGAAAUCAAGUCCGCUGCUGCCCUGGUAAUUGAGUCGUACACGGACCUUAACAGCUGCAUCAUCCAGAUCCUGCCUUGCUAGAAUCCGUACGUGCCUCAGGUUUACCUUCCCUGAGGGAUACACGCGAACGUUGCAUUCAGAAAGAACAUCAACACACAACCUCCUUCCAACUCAACCUUUCUUAACUUCUUGAUCAAAGAUCUUGAAGCAUUCUUCCUGAUCUCAGAAGCACGAUAAUACGAUUGAUGACUAUUCUCACCAUGAAGAGAAGGUAUUCCACCGGCAGUUGCUGACUUUAAACUCACUUUCAAUACCAUCUUAUUGUUCCUUCUGAAAUGAUACCAGGUGACUCCACUUUCAGCAGAAACAACACGAUUCCCAUUGGGUGAGUACCCACUAGAGAGGAAUCGUUCUUCUUAUUAUUCCAAGUACCAUAACCAGCUGCUAUGGCUUCCAUGCGAUGUGCCAGCCGAUUCCUCACAAACCUCAGAAGUUUAGGACCAUCAAUCUCAAACUUUAUGAGCAUAGCUGGAUUCUGACUAGUCGAACACACAGCUUUAAGAGCAGCUUUCUGAGGACCAUUGCAAUAAGACCAGCAUGUAUUGGGAAAAUUUUCAGGUCCUCAAAGUGAUUAUUCAUUGCGUAUGACGAGCAUGUUCUUGAUCCAGCACCUAAUGGGGAUCGUGUAUUAUUUGCUGAUUAUCGUGGAAUCACUUGGGAUCAGUUUAGAUACAGCCAGCAAUUGGCCUUUGAUAUUGAUCAUAAUACAUUGUCAGGAGGUAUGCCAACUCUUCCUGGUGAGCGGGGCAGGGAUCCUUUUUAUCUAGCUGCUGAGAUAACUAAGAAGGCAAGUCGAUCUUUAAUCAUGCUUUUAAGGAAGAUUGAACUAGAAGGCAAUUGUGUUGAAAUUCUUGAUCAUACCAAAGUCUGUGUCUAUGAGAACGGAUAGGUAAGGCUGUCACGCGCCCGUAUUCUGACAAAUCAAGAUUUAAGUGAUGCAGAAAUUGAGAAUCAUCUAAGACUUAAUUAUAGGGCAGCGGUGGAUAUGAUUUUUAUGUUGUUUGAUGUUAAUGGCAAUGGGCAGUAUUGGCUACCACCAGAUAUGGAUCACCUACUUGGAUUGAUGUGGAAUAAUUUUGGGGAUCGGGGAAUUUAUGCCAUACAUGCUGCUCUUGUACUCAUGGUUUUGUAUCCCCACUUGUUUAAGGAACUGCACAAUUUGAUUUCAGAUAAGAUUAGGGAUUCGGAAUACCAUGACAUCUGUGUUGCACUAGUUGCUAAUGCUCUUGAUUGGAGACGUGAAGUUCAUAAUAAUGACCUCCUUUGUGAAACAUAUUUUUUUAGACAAGGUUUGGAUUAUGUUGUUCCAUACAACUACCCAAAUCAACUUCAUAUCAGACGUGAUCAACUUUCAGCAGAAAAAAACACGGUUCUCGAAAGAAAUCGUGCUUUUUCUUAUUCCAUGUACCAUAACCAGCUGUUAUGGCUUCCAUGCGAUGUACCAGCCGAUUCCUCUGAAACCUCAGAAGUUUGUUACAAUCAAUCACAUCAAUCUCAAAGUUUGUGAGCAUAGCUAGAUUCUGACCAGUCGAACACGCAGCUUUGAGAGCAGCUUUCUGAGGACCAUUGCAAUAAGACC